Molecule: unclassified non-coding RNA, 261 nt
Filed under: Hevea brasiliensis (rubber tree)
Lineage: Eukaryota; Viridiplantae; Streptophyta; Magnoliopsida; Malpighiales; Euphorbiaceae
Source: RNAcentral
AGAUAAUGCUUUGUAUUGCAUCAAUAUUGUAAGGGCAUCUUAUGAAACAACUUGGAGAUGGAAUCCUAUAACCAGAAAAUAAGCAAGCAAACAAUUAGAAAGGGCCUGAGGAAGAGAAGGAGGAAGCGUUAUGGAAAAUCCAAUGCCCAUGCACAGGAAAAGAUGUGAACUUCAUAUGAUGGUACAGAAUAUGCAUUGUUUAUCCACAACACUGUUAAGAACAACAAUCAAAACUACAAUGCAGUUAUUUUGGCCAUUUUA